RNAcentral lists this ribosomal RNA (3225 nucleotides) under Triticum aestivum (bread wheat). RNAcentral's name for it is "partial small subunit ribosomal RNA". Lineage: Eukaryota; Viridiplantae; Streptophyta; Magnoliopsida; Poales; Poaceae. The record is from RNAcentral.
AUGAGCAGGCACAACACCCGCAAUAAGAACAAGAGGCCACGCGCCGAUGAGUCUGCGAGCCCGUCUUAUGCUGCUCUCAAGAGGAUACAUUCCACUGGCGCCAUCACGCAAGAUGAUAUUAGGCAACUUUACAGCGUGUGGAAGCCGGUUUGCCAGGGCUGCCAUGGGAACACCAAGGACUCACCCAAUUGUUUCUGCGGGUUGAUCCCCACCACCGGUGGGACGAGGAAGACUGGCCUCUGGCAGAAAAAUGGCGAGCAUGUCGGUAGCCUCGGCCCUGACCCAUCCAAGGACCUCCGUGCUUCCACUGAGACGCCUGCUGGAUUGACUAAUCUGGGCGCGACAUGUUAUGCUAACAGCAUACUUCAGUGCCUCUAUAUGAACACUUCCUUCCGUUCAGGCAUUUUCUCGCUAGAGCCAGACAUCUUGAAGAAGCAACCUGUUCUCGAUCAGCUGGCUCGAUUAUUUGCGCAGCUACACUCCAGCAAAAUGGCUUUCAUUGAUUCAGCACCUUUCAUCAAGACCUUGGAACUAGACAACGGUGUCCAGCAGGACAGUCACGAAUUUCUCACCUUGUUUUUGUCUCUGCUCGAGCGUUCGUUAAGUUACUCCAAGGUCGCUGUUGCAAAAACUAUUGUGCAAGAUUUAUUUCGUGGAAGUGUGUCGCAUGUGACUCGGUGUUCAUCAUGUGGAAGGGAUUCUGAAGCAUCUUCAAAAAUGGAAGACUUCUAUGAACUGGAACUGAAUAUUAAAGGUUUAAGUAAUUUAGAGGAAAGUCUGGAUGACUAUUUGAGCGUGGAGGCACUGAAUGGGGAGAACCAAUAUUCCUGCGAGUCAUGUCAGAAAAGGGUAGACGCCACCCGUUGUAUAAAACUUCGCUCGCUUCCUCCUGUUGUUAAUUUUCAGCUGAAGCGAUAUGUAUUCCUACCAAAGACAACAACGAAGAAAAAGAUUUCUUCAUCAUUCAGUUUUCCGGGACAGCUAGAUAUGGGGAAGCGGUUGUCGGAUCCUUCAUCCAAUUACAUUUAUGACCUGGCUGCUAUUUUGAUUCAUAAGGGUAGUGCUGCUAAUAGUGGUCACUAUGUGGCACAUAUAAAGGAUGAAAGCAAUGGUCACUGGUGGGAGUUUGAUGAUGAGUGUGUAUCCAGCCUUGGUUUUCACCCUUUUGGUGAAAAACCAGGCAAGUCAUCUGAUAAAGCGGAUCGGAAAUCUGAAGGUACUUCUACCGAAGGUUCUGUGGCAAAUGGUAAUAACAGUAGCCAUCAUGAGGCUGCACCGACUUCUAAUAUGGGAGAGAUGUUCUCUUCCACUGAUGCUUACAUGCUAAUGUACAAACGUUCGAGCAAGGAUGAAAAUGGUAUUAAAAGCAAUAAUAUUGUGGAAGCCAGUAAUAGUUCACUUCCACGCCAUCUGAUGGAUGAGAUUGAUGCUUUGAAUGCAUCAUGUGUAAACGAAUGUGGCGAGUACCUAAGUAAAAAAGAUAACCUUUUGGCUUCCAUACAAGAAAGGCGCCAAGAAGUAAAAUCUGUUAUUACAGAAGCACCUGCUACUCCAGACGAUGAUUCAUAUUUUUGGAUUUCACUAGACUGGCUUCGCCAAUGGGCGGAUAAUGCUACCCCUCCCUCUUCCAUUGACAACAUUCCAAUUCAGUGUGAACAUGGAAAAGUUCCAGCAUCUAAAGUCACAUCCAUGAAGCGGUUAUCGGCUAAAGCUUGGGAGAAGCUACUUUCCAAAUACGGAGGAGGACCAACACUCAGCAAGGAUGAUGUUUGCAAGGAGUGUCUCAAGGAUGUAGCAAAAACUGCAGUUUCUGCUGAUGUCUAUCGUGAUAGGAAAGCAUCGUUAAAGAAUCUUGCAGAAGCUGCACUUGCUGGAAGUAUUCCAGAAGGUCCUUCUUACUUUAUUUCGAAGACAUGGUUGUCCCAUUGGCUGCGAAGAAAAAAUGUGGAUAUCACUUUUGAUGCUGAUAAGGGACCAACAAGUGCUCUAAGAUGCAGCCAUGGGAAUCUUCUUCCAGAGCACGCUUCUGGGGCAAAGCGGGUAUCUGUGCCAGAGAGCCUAUGGCUAUUUCUCUAUGAAACCAUCGCAAAGGAAGCUGAUGAUAUUGUGACUUUUCCGUCAGAUACUCAACCAUGCGAGAUCUGUGACCACAAAUUGUCAGCUGUUGCUUCUGUUGAGGAUAGUCUUAGAGCGGUGAAACUGAAGCAACGACAGAGCCAUGAAAAGUUAAUCUCUGGGAAAGGCUUUGCACUUAAUCCUGGACAAAAAUAUUAUUUGGUUCCUUCGUCGUGGUUGUCAGAAUGGAGAGCUUACAUUACAGCGACUGGAAAAAAUGUUUCGUCGUUACCAGAACCUCAAAGUCUUGAAGUUGCUAUAAAUUCACUUAAAUGUGAAAAGCAUUCUAGAUUGUUGCAAAGGCCUUUGGAUAUAGUUUACAAGCGUGGGGGCAUCACCCAGAAAACAUCGAAUACUGAUGGGUUAGCAAUCAUCUCAGAAUCCGACUGGCAAUCAUUCUCUGAGGAGUGGAACGUUGCACAUGCAGAUGGCGCAUGUGCUGAAAUUGUUUUUAGCAAGAGCUCAGAGGAUAAACCGCACGAGUCAUCUGAAGCAAUGGUAAUAUUGGAUAAAGAUCCGGACCAGUUUAUUAAUGGUGCAAAUGGUGACUCGGAGGACUGUAGACCCUAUGUCAGAACUGAUCCUGAGGUUUGUGAAGAAUGUAUUGGAGAAAGAGAGAGCUGUGCAUUGGUGGAGAAACUCAAUUACCAGAACGAAGAUAUCCAUGUUUAUCUUGUGCGUGGGAAAGAAGCACCAAAGUCAAUUAGGGAGGCAUCUGCAGCUCUUCCUGUUCCAGAUCGCCGGACUUCAAAGCGUUCUCGGAGAACAACCACAGGGAACUCAAUCAGUUUGAAAGUCUCUGGUUCUACAACCGUCUAUCAGUUGAAACUCAUGAUAUGGGAAUCUUUAGGGAUUGUGAAGGAGAAUCAGAAGCUUCAUAAAGGCCCUCUUGAGAUCGAAGAGGAUUUUGCGACUCUUGCUGAUAAGUGCAUUUUCCCUGGGGAUGUUUUGUGGGUUAAAGAUUCUGAAUUGUUUGAGGACCGUGAUAUAGCAGAUGAAAUUUCAGAGCCGAAGGCUGAUGCACUACCUGCUGAGGAAGGCUUUCGUGGUACACUAUUGACAUCAAGUGUAUCAGCUCAGCUUUGUCAGGACAUAGUAUCGAGUGAAUGA